CUGGGUUUCUCCUCUUCUUCGUACAAGAAACUCCGCUGCAAAAUUCCAUCCCAUUUUUCACUCAUCUUCUUCCAUUUUUUUCCUCCAUUUGAUCGCUUCGAUACGCGGCCACCUGGCCUUGAUCCAAACAUCAAGAAUCUUCUGGAUUAACAGCCAUCUAGUGGCUCUAAUUUGCUAUGAAAAACCUCAACUCAUCCUCACCUUUGAAGGAAGGGUUUGAGAUUUUGGGUUUGAUAUAAAAGCAAAAGGAAAGGCUGGAGAAGGGAGGAGGACAACAAGAGAUAAAGAGGGAGGCGGCUGCCAAAGGGAAAGGAAGGAAAAACAACAAAAAAGGAGAGAAAAUCGAGAGAAAAAGUGCAGAGAAAAAUUCUGGAAAAAGUGAGCCAAGGUUGGAAGGGUGGCUGGGUUCAAACGACAUUUUCUCCUUCAUAUUGGCUUCUUUUAGAUCGAAUCUUAGUUUCUGGAUACUCUAUGAUGCAGUAGAAGAGUUUUUACAUGGAAGGUUGCUUGAAAAAACACUUCCAGAACCUUCAAAAUCGGGCCUAAAGUCACCCAUUUCUCAACUCUUAAACUUCUGCAAUAUGGAGUGAUUUGUCUCACUUUCGGAAUCUGAACACAUUUCAUCACAAUUUUUCGCAUCUAUUCAAGUUCCCUAGCUUCC
Molecule: long non-coding RNA, 661 nt
Filed under: Coffea arabica (coffee)
Lineage: Eukaryota; Viridiplantae; Streptophyta; Magnoliopsida; Gentianales; Rubiaceae
Description: long non-coding RNA (CARA_LNC004150)
Source: RNAcentral